AUCCAAAAUUAGUACAAACUAUGUAUAACUAUGGACUAUUGCAUGCAGUAUAUACACAAGAUGGAGAUAACCUACAACAUAUACCAGAAUUAUACCAAAUAGUAAAAAAAAUACUUGGGAAUUACCAAAGCAGACUUAAUAUUAUUAGGAUUUAUUCAGCACCCUGCGAAGUUACACCACAAAAAAUAUAUCAUUCUAUCACAGCAGUGAAGAUAGGACUAAC
Molecule: long non-coding RNA, 223 nt
Filed under: Nicotiana benthamiana
Lineage: Eukaryota; Viridiplantae; Streptophyta; Magnoliopsida; Solanales; Solanaceae
Description: long non-coding RNA (NBEN_LNC027180)
Source: RNAcentral